Non-coding RNA from Maylandia zebra (zebra mbuna), 251 nucleotides. The record is from RefSeq and is a predicted model, not a curated record. Lineage: Eukaryota; Metazoa; Chordata; Actinopteri; Cichliformes; Cichlidae.
GCCAAUAAGGACGCGGAUCUCAGGACGUGCAGGACGAGGCAGCGCAGCAAGGACACAGAGUGAAGCACAUUUUAAUGAGGGGACGCAGAUAAAGAGUGAAUAGACGCGUAGACAGCGAGAAGAAAAUCAGCAGUAUCCAGUAUUUCAUCGGGCCUACUGUGUGCUGCCAGACCCCCACAGCCAACCAAGAUCUGUGCCCAAAAUUCCUCACUACUGACCAGCCCUUCAUAUUGUGCAUCUCUAUCAUGGGU